RNAcentral lists this ribosomal RNA (253 nucleotides) under uncultured bacterium. RNAcentral's name for it is "partial 16S ribosomal RNA". It matches the Rfam family "Bacterial small subunit ribosomal RNA", at positions 524 to 776 of the family's 1533-position model. The record is from RNAcentral.
UACGAAGGGGGCUAGCGUUGCUCGGAAUCACUGGGCGUAAAGGGUGCGUAGGCGGGUCUUUCAGUCAGGGGUGAAAUCCUGGAGCUCAACUCCAGAACUGCCUUUGAUACUGAAGAUCUUGAGUUCGGGAGAGGUGAGUGGAACUGCGAGUGUAGAGGUGAAAUUCGUAGAUAUUCGCAAGAACACCAGUGGCGAAGGCGGCUCACUGGCCCGAUACUGACGCUGAGGCACGAAAGCGUGGGGAGCAAACAGG